GCGUCGCGUUCCCCUCUUCCCUGGCAAAAUCGCGACGCAUUCGACGAUGCCCGCGGUUGUGAUGGCGUUGGUGGGUGCAGAUCCUCGGGCUAGACAUGUGCGCGGACGUCAUUGUCGGCAAUGAGCUGAUGCGCGGCAUCUCCGGUGGCCGGAAGAAGCGCCUCACCAUAGAUCCGCGCGCCGCGCCUCCCCUUCCUCCCCCCUCGAUCCUGCUGUGCUCCCGAUCGCACUCCCUCCGUCGCUACAGCCGUGUUUGAUUUCAGGGGAGAUGCUGGUCGGCCCGACCAAGGUGCUGUUCAUGGACGAGAUCUCGACGGGCCUCGACAGCUCCACCACCUUCCAAAUCAUCAAGUGCAUCCAGCAGAUCGUCCACAGGGGCGAGGCCACCGUCGUGGUGUCGCUGCUCCAGCCCACGCCGGAGGUCUUUGAGCUCUUCGACGACGUCAUGCUGCUGUCCGAGGGGCAAAUCGUCUACCAGGGACCUCGGGAGUACUUGCUCAAGUUCUUCGAGAGGUGUGGUUUCCGGUGCCCGGAGAGGAAAGGUGCCGCUGAUUUGCUGCAGGAGGUUCGUCAUUUCGUCACAUUAAACUCCUCGGUUGGAUGCUGAUGGAUGCUGUUUUGGAACAGGUUACAUCAAAGAAAGUUCAGGAGCAGUAUUGGAUACAGAGCGAAAAACCAUAUCACUAUGUAUCAAUCCCUGACUUUGUUGCAAAAUUCAAGAAAUUUCAUAUGGGGAAGAGCCUAAAAAAACAGCUUUCAGUUCCUUUCAACAAGAGAAAAAUCCACAAAUCUGCUCUGGUCUUCUCCGAGCAAUCUGUUUCUACUUUGGAGCUUCUCAAGACCUCAUGGUCCAAGGAAUGGAUUCUCAUGAAGAGAAACUCGUUUGUCUAUGUUUUAAAAACAGUCCAGGUGUGCAGAGACUUUGUCAUGUGACUAUGAGAUGAAGAGCUAAGGAGUAACCGCUGAUAACCUAUCUCAUAACCUAUCAAGAAAAGAAGAUAUUCGUGGAUGAAGUUAUAGAACUGGUUGAGCUUAACGGUCUCAAGGAUGUUAUUGUGGGUCUCCCUGGUGUGAACGGGCUCUCAACAGAACAAAGAAAAGAUUAACAAUCGCUGUAGAGCUUGUGGCAAACCCCUCGAUCAUCUUCAUGGAUGAACCAACUUCAGGUCUUGAUGCAAGGGCUGCUGCAAUUGUUAUGAGAACUGUGAGGAACACUGUCAAUACUGGAAGAACCGUUGUCUGCACUAUCCAUCAACCAAGUAUCGAUAUUUUUGAAGCUUUUGACGAGGUAAUGCAUUUGCAUCUUGUGGAGACGACACACACAUUAGCGCUCAUAUAUUUAAUGCAGCAAUAUAUUGCG
Long non-coding RNA from Phragmites australis (common reed), 1360 nucleotides. RefSeq lists it as uncharacterized. NCBI's taxonomy places the organism in Eukaryota, Viridiplantae, Streptophyta, Magnoliopsida, Poales, Poaceae. The transcript is spliced from 3 exons. The record is from RefSeq and is a predicted model, not a curated record.